ACCAUUGUUCACUUUGGUUCUUAUACCGUUAUCACUCACUUUGAUUCUUACACCAUUGUUUUUAUUUCCAGUUUUUAUACCAUUGUCACUCACUUUGAUUAUUACAUCGUUGUUUUUAUUUCCGGUUCUUACACCAUUGUUGACUCCGGCUCGCACACCGUUUGUUAUUUUAUUUUCCGGUUCUUACACCAUCGUCUUUUUAUUUUUGCGGUUCUUAAAACAUCGUCUUUUUAUUUUUCUGGUUCUUACACCAUCUCCUUUUUAUUUUUGUGAUUCUUA
This 279-nucleotide long non-coding RNA is filed under the name Lathyrus oleraceus (garden pea). RNAcentral describes it as "Pisum sativum (pea) long non-coding RNA (PSAT_LNC031638)". The record is from RNAcentral. Lineage: Eukaryota; Viridiplantae; Streptophyta; Magnoliopsida; Fabales; Fabaceae.